This 164-nucleotide small nuclear RNA is filed under the name Tupaia belangeri chinensis (Chinese tree shrew). Its description in RNAcentral is "Tupaia chinensis (Chinese tree shrew) U1 spliceosomal RNA". It matches the Rfam family "U1 spliceosomal RNA". From Rfam's summary of the family: U1 is a small nuclear RNA (snRNA) component of the spliceosome (involved in pre-mRNA splicing). Its 5' end forms complementary base pairs with the 5' splice junction, thus defining the 5' donor site of an intron. The record is from Rfam by way of RNAcentral. Lineage: Eukaryota; Metazoa; Chordata; Mammalia; Scandentia; Tupaiidae.
AUACUUACCUGGCGGGGGAGAUACCAUGAUCAUGAAGGUGGUUUUCCCAGGGUGAGGCUCAUCCAUUGCACUCUGGAUGUGCUGACCCCUGCAAUUUCCCCAAAUGUGGGAAACUCAACUGCAUAAUUUGUGGUAGUGGGGGACUGCGUUCGCGCUCUCCCCUG